CCGUGCGCCUUGUUCCGGGUGGGCCCAGCGCCGGGAGUCGGCCGGUGAGGCGGCGCGCCUGCGCGGGCCUGUUUGUGGCAAAGAACAGGGACUGCGUGGGGUCGAGCAUGCGUGGGCGCACGCGGGGGUGUGUGUCUGUGCGCCCUGAGCCUAGUGGAGACGUUUCCUGUGCGCCUCCUGCGAAGCUCCUCGAGGCACCUCAAGGCUGGCGUGGCUGCAGGCCUGUCCUGAGAGUGGGAGGCCGACUGACAUACCAGGUGGAUCCAAGGUUUAAUUUUUUUUUUAAAGUGAGCUAUAAAAAUACUGAAGAACAAAGAGGAAAUUUUCUAGAAUCUUGGAGUGAAGGAGGCUUUCUGAGUAUGUCACCAAAUUCAGCAGCCAUAAAAGAAAAAAAAUCGGAAAAAAAAUCGAUAA
Lutra lutra (Eurasian river otter) is the source of this 414-nucleotide long non-coding RNA. RefSeq lists it as uncharacterized. Lineage: Eukaryota; Metazoa; Chordata; Mammalia; Carnivora; Mustelidae. The record is from RefSeq and is a predicted model, not a curated record. The transcript has 3 exons.